This 210-nucleotide long non-coding RNA is filed under the name Elaeis guineensis (African oil palm). RNAcentral describes it as "long non-coding RNA (EGUI_LNC038474)". Lineage: Eukaryota; Viridiplantae; Streptophyta; Magnoliopsida; Arecales; Arecaceae. The record is from RNAcentral.
GUUGCACUUGUAGCACCUAACUUCUUUCUUGCUCCAGCUCUUUCGAGACUUUGACCGUCUUCUUGACUUACCUCUUUCUCUUCAUUUUUCAGAUCUGUCCUCCAUGGCCAAGCCCUCCUAGGGAGCACCUUCUUUGGUCAAUUUCUCUCGCUGUUCAUUGGACUGCAGCACCGAGACCAUAUCUUGAUACUGCAAGGUCUCCUUACCAUA